Molecule: ribosomal RNA, 226 nt
Filed under: uncultured bacterium
Lineage: Bacteria
Description: partial 16S ribosomal RNA
Rfam family: Bacterial small subunit ribosomal RNA
Source: RNAcentral
UUAUAAAAGCGACCUCAGUUCGGAUUGAAGGCUGAAAUUCGCCUUCAUGAAGUCGGAAUUGCUAGUAAUGGCAGGUCAGCAUACUGCCGUGAAUACGUUCCCGGGCCUUGUACACACCGCCCGUCACACCAUGAGAGUUGGAGAUACCCGAAGCCUAUGAGCUAACUUUUAGAGGCAGUAGUCGAAGGUAGAAUCAAUGAUUGGGGUGAAGUCGUAACAAGGUAAC